UACGGAAGGGGCAAGCGUUGUUCGGAAUCAUUGGGCGUAAAGGGCGCGUAGGUGGUUCUGUAUGUCUACCGUGAAAGCAUACAGCUCAACUGUAUUUUGUCGGUAGAAACUGCAGGACUUGAGGCUGGGAGGGGCUGGUGGAAUUCCCUGUGUAGCGGUGAAAUGCGUAGAGAUGGGGGAGAACACUCGUGGCGAAGGCGGCCAGCUAGACCAGUUCUGACACUGAGACGCGACAGCGUGGGGAGCAAACAGG
Molecule: ribosomal RNA, 253 nt
Filed under: uncultured bacterium
Lineage: Bacteria
Description: partial 16S ribosomal RNA
Rfam family: Bacterial small subunit ribosomal RNA
Source: RNAcentral